Molecule: small RNA, 64 nt
Filed under: Enterobacter cloacae
Lineage: Bacteria; Pseudomonadati; Pseudomonadota; Gammaproteobacteria; Enterobacterales; Enterobacteriaceae
Description: Salmonella enterica sRNA STnc40
Rfam family: Salmonella enterica sRNA STnc40
Source: RNAcentral
GUGCCACGGCCGUCUGAGCUAAGUUCAUAAAAAACGAAAAGGCGCAGAAAUCUGCGCCUUUUUU